This is a long non-coding RNA of Pyrgilauda ruficollis (rufous-necked snowfinch), 2499 nucleotides long. RefSeq lists it as uncharacterized. The record is from RefSeq and is a predicted model, not a curated record. The transcript has 3 exons. Lineage: Eukaryota; Metazoa; Chordata; Aves; Passeriformes; Passeridae.
GACCGGCGGGACCCCCGCGGGGGCUCCGGGCACACGGACACCGGCGGCGCUCCGGGACGGACCGGGGUGUCCGCUCCCUCAGCUCCGGCCUCCUCCGAGAUGCAGCGGGGCAAAGCAGCUCCUCACAGCUUUCGGAAGAAAAGCAGUUUGUAAAUUUUAAAAAAUGUUAAUAAAGGCAAGAAGCUGUAAAACCGAGUCUAGGUCACUGCAUCUGUCAGCAAACAUACCAGGUGUUGUUGCAGAGACAGACAAAUGUCUGGGAAUGGCACACCUCAUAGGGCUCAGUCACUCUCAGCCUGUCCCACUUCACCCUCUGUGGCUUCAUGGAUUUUGAAAAAGAUGGGUAGAGGAGAAGAAUCACACAGCCUUCAACACAUUUUGGAUGAACCACAUCCAGAUCUGAUGUCCCUGUCUCCUGCCCAUCAGCAACUCUGGUGAAACCCUCUACGGCUUGGGCAGCAAGCAAGUGUGAAGGGCAGGACAGAAGUGCUGCCAGCCUCAGGAUUCCUGAAUCAUGACUCAACAAUGAGGAGAUGCGGGAACCUAAAGGUUUGCUUGUGCCCCUAGAACAAGAUGGACAAUAGUGCUUGUUUGGCCAGCUCCUUGCCCACCCCCCUGCCUCAAGUCUCCUUGUUCUGUUAUCUGAAUGCUCUUCCUGCUCUUUGGUUCCUUAAUGAGCCUGGCACAGCUUGUUCUUUCCUAUCUCCACAUCCAGUGUUGUUACACCCCUCCUACCAUUUUUAGCUCCUCUUUUGCUCCUCGUUUCACUGGCUCCAAUACUGCUGCUCUCUCCCCAGCUCCCAAGACUAGCUGCUUGCUUUUUCAAAUAGUCUUCCCGCUCUCUAGGCCCUGCUUUCACUACAGCAAUCACUCUUGACUUUUAUAAUCCCAUGCACUCUGAUUUUCCAUCUAGUCACGUUAUUCAGCCAGUCAAGGUUCUUUUCUCCCAAAGGGUUCCAUCCCUUUGUUUUCCAGUAACUCCUUCUGUCUUUAUCCUCACAACAGACAGUAUCAUAAAGCUCCUGGCCCUGAUCUGUUCUCCAUGUUUCCCUUCCCCAAGGGACUUGCUGUUCUCCUUUCACUCAGCUGCUCCUCCUUCCCCUGCCUGGUCCAGAGCAGUCACCAGAGGUUGGGUCCUUACACAAGAUGUCUGGCACUCACAUAACCUUAUCCCACCUUUGUGACACAGUGUUGACAACAGAUCUUGGAAGAACUACACAGGGAAAAUCUCAAAUGUCCCUACAGAGCAUGCAUGAAAUGGAUUUUUUUUUUUAAAGGUUUAUCAUUGAUCAAAAUUUGGCAUGGAUUUUUAUGGGGAUAGUGAGUAGUGUAGCUCUGACGUAAGGACAGCUCUCCUUCAUAGGUUUCAGCUUCCUCCUCCAAAGCAGUUGGGCAAAAGACUGUUCUUCUUAGCAUACACUUUAACACUCAAAUCCAAAAUGUUUUGCUCUGCCUUUUUUUAUUUCUCCCUGAGUAGAUUUAAUGUACAGGCUGAAGCCAUAUUUAAAAAGAAAACAAAAAUUAUAAAAAAAUCAGAUGUAGGCAGACAGCCAGAAUGGAACAUUUCAGCUCCAAUCAUAAAAAUUACAAGCAACUGAAUGGUUUAGAGUAGGAAUGCCCAGUCUAUCUAAUUCCAUCUCUGCUGGUAAAUUUCUCCUUGCUAAAACCUGCACUUUGAACUUGCCACUCUGGGAUCAAUCACAUUGCUGUCCCCAGCAGCUUCAGAAUAAGAAAGGAAUACAGGACUUGCUUUGCCAUAGAUCAGGGCUUCUCAGAAGCUUUGUCUGAAUUGUGAGGCAGGUGGGGAAAUGAGGCCUGAUAACUGGAAACAAAUUCACACACAAAGCCUAAAAUAUUUCUGUGGAAAGAGAGAAGGUCAAACGCAAAAGCUGGAGCUUCUCAUAACGCGGUUGGUCUGUUAGCAAUGUCACCAGUGUAAAUCAAUCCAUUUAAAAACAGUCUUGUCACACCUCCAUAAAUGGCUAAUGUGGACAUGUUCAAAGCCUCACCUAAGACAGAACAUUUUGAAGUGGUAUAAUUAAAUCUGGUGUAUUCUUAAAGGAUGAGGCACCUGUUCUCUGAGUGCAAUCAAACUGAGAGCCUGCAGGCUGGCAUGGCUCGCUGCCCGGGACGCCGAUGCCGUUUCUGUGCCCGCUUGCAGCUCACAGACGCUGGGUGGCAACUCUCGCUCCUGCAGAAAUGCAGCUCCUGCUCCCGGGGCAGCAGCCGGGCUGCAGCACUCACCCUGUCUGCCUGUGAGAGGUGCAAGACGGGAAAGGCUGCACGGCACAGGACCUGACAUGGUGGCUGAGGAGAAGAGGAGGAGAGGAGGAAAUGGCUGCUGGCAGGGCAGGCAGGCCCUGACAAGUGGGAUGCUCCAGCAGGGUCUGUACACGGCCACUGCAGUCAGAACAGCCCUCCUCCUGCAGCUGUUGUGCCGUGAAAAGCUGGGCUUCCCACUGCAGCAGGCACUGAGCAGGCACAUCUGCUCUGUUGCCA